Molecule: ribosomal RNA, 253 nt
Filed under: uncultured bacterium
Lineage: Bacteria
Description: partial 16S ribosomal RNA
Rfam family: Bacterial small subunit ribosomal RNA
Source: RNAcentral
UACGGGGGGGGCAAGCGUUGUUCGGAAUUACUGGGCGUAAAGGGCUCGUAGGUGGCCAACUAAGUCAGACGUGAAAUCCCUCAGCUUAACUGGGGAACUGCGUCUGAUACUGGAUGGCUUGAGUUUGGGAGAGGGAUGCGGAAUUCCAGGUGUAGCGGUGAAAUGCGUAGAUAUCUGGAGGAACACCGGUGGCGAAGGCGGCAUUCUGGACCAUAACUGACACUGAGAGACGAAAGCCAGGGGAGCAAACGGG